GAAUAUUGGUCAAUGAGCGGAAGCUUGAACCAGCCAUGCCGCGUGCAGGACGACUGCCCUAUGGGUUGUAAACUGCUUUUAUACGGGAAUAAACCCCACUACGUGUAGUGGGCUGAAUGUACUGUAAGAAUAAGGAUCGGCUAACUCCGUGCCAGCAGCCGCGGUAAUACGGAGGAUCCAAGCGUUAUCCGGAUUUAUUGGGUUUAAAGGGUGCGUAGGCGGCCUAUCAAGUCAGAGGUGAAAGACGGUAGCUCAACUAUCGCAGUGCCUUUGAAACUGGUGGGCUUGAAUGUACUUGAGGUGGGCGGAAUGUGACAAGUAGCGGUGAAAUGCAUAGAUAUGUCACAGAACCCCGAUUGCGAAGGCAGCUCACUAAGGUAUGAUUGACGCUGAUGCACGAAAGCGUGGGGAUCAAACAG
RNAcentral lists this ribosomal RNA (419 nucleotides) under uncultured bacterium. Its description in RNAcentral is "bacterial SSU rRNA". It matches the Rfam family "Bacterial small subunit ribosomal RNA", at positions 359 to 775 of the family's 1533-position model. The record is from RNAcentral.